Populus trichocarpa (black cottonwood) is the source of this 1358-nucleotide RNA transcript. It is a transcript of the gene named glycolipid transfer protein 1, with no coding region annotated. The transcript is spliced from 8 exons. Lineage: Eukaryota; Viridiplantae; Streptophyta; Magnoliopsida; Malpighiales; Salicaceae. The record is from RefSeq and is a predicted model, not a curated record.
UAUCUCUCACAAUGCAAGAACACCUGGCUAAGUUUAUAUGAUUAUAUCCUCUGACAAAUAACAAAGAGCCAAACAAUCAGUAUAGUUGUUAGGCUUUAAUUCUAUGAGGUCUGUCCUUGACGAUGGUGAUUCAUCUUUAUCGGAGUUCAUCAGCCCCCCAGCGAAGCCAGCAAACUGUUGUAAAUAGCACGCUUCGGAUUCGAAACGUGAAAGCGACUAACCGACUCCACCGAACUUUCUCCUCUCUUCUUUUCUUCUUCUAAAAUAUCAAAGGCGAUCAUCGCUUUAUCAAAUGAUUCUCCACUUCCAAUGGUACUAUCAGAUUCUUCGGCAUCUCCUUUCCCUUAAAAAUCAAAUCUAACCCAAUCCAAUCACACCAACAUCUCUUCUCUUCCUGUUCUUGUACUGAUACAGAAAUUGCCGGUAGAUCUGAGUUGUUGCAGUGAAAUAGACGAUGGGGGCUGAUGGUCUAGGAACUGUGUUUACACCAUCAUUGGAAGGAAUGAAGCACGUCAAAUCUGAUCACGGAGAAAUGCUCACUAAACCUUUCUUGGAUGUCUGCAAAUUGAUUUUGCCUGUUAUCGAUAAGUUUGGAGCUGCCAUGACCCUUGUAAAAUCUGAUAUCGGUACGAGAUUGGAAAACAAGUAUUUGUCUGAUCCGUCUAAAUACAACCACUUAUACACUAUGAUUCAAGAGGAGGUUGAUGCUAAAACAGCCAAAGGAUCUUCCAGUUGUACCAAUUGUCUUCUUUGGCUAACCAGAGCAAUGGAUUUCCUUGUGGAACUGUUCCUGAAUUUACUUGCACACCCAGAUUGGACAAUGUCACAAGCCUGUACAGAUUCAUAUCGCAAGACACUGAAGAAAUUUCAUGGCUGGGUUGCUAGUUCAUAUUCCACUGUUGUCAUGAAGCUUGUUCCAGACAGGAAGAAGUUCAUGGAAGUAAUUUCUGGCCCAGGCAAUGUUUCUGCUGACAUGGAGCAAUUCUGUACAACCUUUCCUCCAUUUCUUGAAGAGAAUCACAAGUUCCUGCCCAAAUCUAUGUCAGUGUCUGUUCCUUGCUUUCCUGUUCAUGCCUAAGUUGUAAGCUACGGCAUUACCAGUAAAAUAAGAAAGGAUGGCAAGUGGAAUCAACUAUGCUAGAUUCCAUAUGUGGCUAGUGUUGGUCUGGAUGAUAUGAAAACUUUAUAAUUGAGGAGAUCCUUCUGAUGACCGGCAGUGGUUUUGGUUACCUUUUCUCCCGUUGAUUUAGCUUCAAAAACUUUAGACGUUAGAGCUACAUCAAAUUAUACAGCUAUUUACUCUUCCAUUCAACUCUUCUGUUCAACAUGUGUUAUGAUAACUUCAAUUUUUUGAUUUA